AUUACCUCACUGAAAUGAUCCAGCCAGACAUUCCUACACGCAACCUAAGAUCGCAAGAUGCAGGCCUAAUUGUACUGAGGAUUUCUGAACAAACAGCUGGAGGCAGGACUUUCUCUCAUAGAGCUCCACUACUGUGGAAUCUGCCAAUUAAGGAAGCACAGUACUCCAAGGCACCAGAGAGGUACUCCACGCCACCAUGUAGAGGACUGCUACUUAGAACAUUUGGAGAAGAUCAAGAAGCUGACUGAAGAGAAGGUCGAGUUGAGGGCACAGCUGGCUCUACAAUCAGCUUCUGAUUAAUGUCUGACUGAAGAGAAUGUCAAGCCCGAGGGCACAACUGGCUCUACAAAUCAGGAUCCAUAAGGAAGAACCCUUCCAACUUGGAUGCCACUGAAGAGAUAAUGUAAUGACUAUUUGGAAAAAAAUGAAUCUAAGUUUGUGAAUUCCCAAAAAUGUAGGAGGUUAAUCAAGAUGCUGUUGGUGUGCCAUGAGGUAGUUUGGCCAUUGUCCUGUCAAAAAUGCAAAAUGUGUAUGCUGUAGCUAUGCUAAUACAAUUGCCCUGGUGGUUGCAACAGGUACAACACUGCACAUGGGCUGGAGUUUUUCACUCCUACAAUUUAGUUGCGC
Long non-coding RNA from Esox lucius (northern pike), 627 nucleotides. The record is from Ensembl. Lineage: Eukaryota; Metazoa; Chordata; Actinopteri; Esociformes; Esocidae.